AAGUCGUAACAAGGUUUCCGUAGGUGAACCUGCGGAAGGAUCAUUACCUUCCAAUGCAGAAGAGUUGAGAUGGUUGAGUAUCUCGCCUCUCAAUUCUCGCUGUAUUUUACCCUUGUUUUUCUCAUACUAUUAUUUCCUCGGCAGGCUCGCCUGCCGGGUGAAACAACUUCAAACCCGUUUAAUUUUCAAUCAGCGUCUGAACAAAUUAAUAAUUACAA
RNAcentral lists this unclassified non-coding RNA (218 nucleotides) under plant metagenome. Its description in RNAcentral is "partial contains small subunit ribosomal RNA and internal transcribed spacer 1". The stretch from base 1 to 46 matches the Rfam family "Eukaryotic small subunit ribosomal RNA", at positions 1786 to 1831 of the family's 1831-position model. The record is from RNAcentral.